AUUGAACGCUGGCGUCAUGCUUUACACAUGCAAGUCGAACGGCAGCGCGGGCUUCGGCCUGGCGGCGAGUGGCGAACGGGUGAGUAAUGCAUCGGAACGUGCCCAGUAGUGGGGGAUAGCCCGGCGAAAGCCGGAUUAAUACCGCAUACGACCUGAGGGUGAAAGCGGGGGACCGAAAGGCCUCGCGCUAUUGGAGCGGCCGAUGUCGGAUUAGCUAGUUGGUGGGGUAAAGGCUUACCAAGGCGACGAUCCGUAGCUGGUCUGAGAGGACGACCAGCCACACUGGGACUGAGACACGGCCCAGACUCCUACGGGAGGCAGCAGUGGGGAAUUUUGGACAAUGGGGGCAACCCUGAUCCAGCCAUGCCGCGUGCGGGAAGAAGGCCUUCGGGUUGUAAACCGCUUUUGUUCGGGAAGAAAUCCUCUGGGCUAAUACCCCGGGGGGAUGACGGUACCGGAAGAAUAAGCACCGGCUAACUACGUG
Molecule: ribosomal RNA, 484 nt
Filed under: uncultured bacterium
Lineage: Bacteria
Description: partial 16S ribosomal RNA
Rfam family: Bacterial small subunit ribosomal RNA
Source: RNAcentral